This 3501-nucleotide unclassified non-coding RNA is filed under the name Haliotis rubra (blacklip abalone). Its description in RNAcentral is "uncharacterized LOC124271560, transcript variant X1". The record is from RNAcentral. Lineage: Eukaryota; Metazoa; Mollusca; Gastropoda; Lepetellida; Haliotidae.
CCCAACACUGAGAGGCAACCAGCACCUACAACCCAGAGCAUUACAAUACACAGAGAUCUGAUCCUUACAAAGAGCAGCUUCAAAGAUGGCAGAAAACUUUAAUUCCCCCCCAAGGAUAACAGAAUGUGGAACAAAUAUCAUAAUUACAAACGGUCACGCGGAGCAGUAGAGGGUGACAGAUGGCAUUCUGGUAGCCGCUCCACACAUGGUUCCCGGGGCAGUGGACACCACACCUCACAACAUCACACAACUCAGCAGACCAGACACCAUCAGAAUAGCUUCCAGUCAUCACACAACUCGGGAUACCAUCAUCUCCCCGAGGGCCCCACCCACACAGCCCCUCCCUUGGCACCGAACCCCUACCACCGGUCAUCCUACAAUGGAAGUGUCCAGAUUUAAUACUUUGCCCAAAUGAUUUUGAGUUCCAACUCUCGAAGUCACAUAGAUCCAUCAAAACGCCUGUCAUCUGGGUCUCGCUAUGCUCCCCCGUCCCGUCCGUCACCGGCACCAAGUGACCAAUCAGGAAGCAGAAGCAUCAACAGCAGCAUGACCUCGGAAACUGUCCCGCAACAUGUCCGACCACCAGCUGGCUACACCUCCGACCUGUGUACAGAGUUAUGAUAGGGGACAAGAGGGGUGGAUUUCUGCCAGAGUGGCGCUGGACCUGUGAGAGAGGCUUGUUGCCAAGCAACAGAUGGAGAGAGAGAUGACAUGCAAGAUAUGGAAUAAUCAUUGUAUCUUGUUUCUACGGGUAGUAGAACCUGCUGUCAUUACAUUGGAAGGCAUGAUCAUAGUGAAACACAGGAUUGAAAAUUGACAAGCCAUAACAUCAGUUUUUGUUACAUCUUGUACAUUGUGAGGUCACAGGGCAGAACACUCAACACAUUCAGGGAUAAACUAUCAACGUGAAGCUUGUGGCCUUUUUGGUCAACAGUCACCUGUAAGAAUGGAUGUUGCCACAAGUUGUGAUCCUGUCUUACAAAAUGUAACUCUAGUCACCUCACUCUUGUCCUGUCUCUCUCUGUGUUGCUAGGCAACAAGAGGUGUGUGGAUGGAUGACUGUGUGAAUGGAUUUAAUGGAAGAGGAUUGGCACUCAUAGUUGUGGUGACUGUCAUGACUUGGGUUUUCAUGGUAACUCCAGGAGUAUCUCCCCUUGCAGGUAACUGACAGGUAUGAACACUUAGUUCACAGGAGAUAUUCAUCACAACCAUGUCUUGCACUGUAAGCAACUCACUCAAGGGGAGAUAGAUCUAGGAACUAAGGCAUCAUGGACGGCCUUGUUUGUGGAGGCAGAUGCUGCUUCCUAUAUUAAAGUUGUUAAAUUUGCUGUCUAAAAGGUGAUAUUGAUCGUGUUUCUACAUUCUUCUUCUGUGGACAUUGAUCAGACAGUAUCUAUGUUGAUCUCAUGUUAUAUGGGACACGUGUCAGUGAGAGGCUGGUCUGGUGUCAGUUCUGUAUCAGCAUCAUGUCCGAUUCAGGUUGGUAGAUAUACUUCUGAUCAGGAUCAGUUCUCUAUCAUUUCUGUAUCUGGUCUUGCAUGAGUUACGUACCAGGACGGGUAUUUAUCAGUAUCAUACUCGGUUGAGAUGCAAAGAUACACAGAUCUGAUACUGAAUUUUGUUUAGAAAAUAAAUUUGUGAUUAAUCUAUAAUGAUAUAUCAGUAAGUUCAAUGUUAACUGUAUAAUUAUAUGUAUUGUGAUAUGCGUCCAGCCUUAUCUAUCUAGUUACACCCUCCAAGGUCAUGCAUAUCCUCCAAGGUCAAAUCCAGCUCCAGUCAGAGGAGACUCCAAUUGGGCAAGAAUGUUUGACUUAUGGUAUCUGAUAAAAUAUUAACACUUGUAAGAACUUUUUAAGUCUUCUUUACUAAUAGCUGAGAGCCAUGUAUUAGCCAUGCUGUGUGUUCUCUGUGGUGGACUGUAGUCAACUGUAGCAAUUGUGCGAUAGUAGCCGUAACUGAAGGAGUAAUACUCGGUUGUGUACACCUCACAACUACUUAUUGAAUCUGGUCUACACAGUGUAUGUAAUUUAUUCAAGCAUGUAUUUAUGUCUUCCUGUGUAUUGGAGCAUAUUCACUAGCUGAAGGUAAUGUUAGACUAGUGCUGCGAGACAACUCACAUUCCAGCGUUCUGGCGAGGGACCCAAGGUUCCUGCCAGCUUGGUUAAAUCAGCCAUCUUGGUUUUCUGUCAGUGGUAUUUUGGGGAGACCCCCGGGCUUGUCAUGAGAAAAUAGGUUGAGGUUUUGUGGUGAAGACAGCUAUGCCACGUGUAAAUGUGGAUGUUUUAUAUGCUGGGAAACAUUUUCACAUGCUACUGUCAGAAUUGCUUGGUAUAAGAGGAUAUUAGAACAUAUGUUUGCAACUUUUCCAUAUUUAACAGAAAAAUUAUGUCAGUUUGAAAUGUUCUAAAUUGAAUUAUCAUACUAGAGAGCUUUAAUUUGGUUUUGUACGUAUCAUGUACUAGACCAGCAAAUUUUUCAGUAGGAAUAACACAUCGUCAGUUCUGACACUGAAUGUGUGUAAAUAUAUGUAUCCCACUUGUAGGAAUGUUACAGCUAUAAGUCAUGGCUAGAACAUGAACCAGCUGUCAUACAGGUAACCUUCCUGGGAAGUGUACAUACUUGCUGCUUAGUGCAUGCCAAACAGGGCCACCCCAUGGUUGGCAACCAUGGAUGAGCUCGUCCGAUGUCAAACAUUGUGAUUCCUGGUCAAGUAGCAGGAUAUGCUUCCUGUAUUUCAGCAUUCAGUCAGUAUUUGUAAUAUUUGAGGCAAUAUUUAUUUCACCACCAAAUAUUUGUAUAUUUGCAAGGUAAUGCUAUGUUGAACUUUAGAAAUGAAAUUGGAUAUAGAGAUUUUACAUCACUAAUUGUUACAAUGUAUACAGGUAGGUUGUUGCUGUUGUCCCUGCCACCAGCUCUCAGCAUGGAUGUGCAUCUAUCUGUUCCAAAGUAUAUAGUUUCAAGCAUGCAGUCAGUGAUAGUAUUGUCCAAACAACCACUUAGAAAACCAUAGAUACACUCUCAUUGUUGCCAUAUUGAGGAAUUGUUAAAUAUUGAGAAAAUAAAUGAAGUCCUACUGAUUUGCUUGGAAUGUUUCAAAUACAUGUUGAAAAUUAAAUCUGUUCUGAUGUCAAAUUUAAUUUUAAUUUAGAUCAGUUGAUAUCAUAUUGAUAAGGUGCAGUUCGUAACACUUUAGACAAUGUCAAUUAGUCUCACAGUUAGAGCAUCCUGUUGUUGGCUUGACAGAUGCUCCACUGAAUUGUCCCACUGACUCAAACAGUUGCUUCUUGGAUUACCUGACCAAUAUGGGAAUAACCCUCACGGAUAUUUUACAUCUUGUAGACUACUUCCAUAUCUUUAUAAAAUACAGGACCACAGAAAAGGGAAUAAUUACUGUGAAUCGCUGAAAUUAUAGGGCAAAGGCAUUCAAGCCAUUUCAGUUAUAGAAUAUCAAGAUGCACAUUAGCUUUGCUUUUAUACAUUUCAGUUUUUCAAAAAUGUUUG